GAUGAACGCUGGCGGCGUGCCUAAUACAUGCAAGUCGAGCGAACAGACGAGGAGCUUGCUCCUCUGACGUUAGCGGCGGACGGGUGAGUAACACGUGGAUAACCUACCUAUAAGACUGGGAUAACUUCGGGAAACCGGAGCUAAUACCGGAUAAUAUAUUGAACCGCAUGGUUCAAUAGUGAAAGACGGUUUUGCUGUCACUUAUAGAUGGAUCCGCGCCGCAUUAGCUAGUUGGUAAGGUAACGGCUUACCAAGGCAACGAUGCGUAGCCGACCUGAGAGGGUGAUAGGCCACACUGGAACUGAGACACGGUCCAGACUCCUACGGGAGGCAGCAGUAGGGAAUCUUCCGCAAUGGGCGAAAGCAUGACGGAGCAACGCCGCGUGAGUGAUGAAGGUCUUCGGAUCGUAAAACUCUGUUAUUAGGGAAGAACAAAUGUGUAAGUAAAUAUGCACGUCUUGACGGUACCUAAUCAGAAAGCCACGGCUAACUACGUG
Molecule: ribosomal RNA, 497 nt
Filed under: uncultured bacterium
Lineage: Bacteria
Description: partial 16S ribosomal RNA
Rfam family: Bacterial small subunit ribosomal RNA
Source: RNAcentral